UGGGGAAUAUUGCGCAAUGGGGGAAACCCUGACGCAGCGACGCCGCGUGUGGGAUGAAGGUCUUCGGAUUGUAAACCACUGUCGCGAGGGACGAAGCUCUGACGGUACCUCGAAAGGAAGCACCGGCUAACUCUGUGCCAGCAGCCGCGGUAAUACAGAGGGUGCGAGCGUUGUCCGGAAUCACUGGGCGUAAAGGGCGCGUAGGCGGCCCGGUAAGUAGGGGGUGAAAUCUCAUGGCUCAACUGUGAGGCUGCCUUCUAGACUGCCAGGCUUGAGCACAGUAGAGGCGAGUGGAAUUCCCGGUGUAGCGGUGGAAUGCGUAGAGAUCGGGAAGAACAUCGGUGGCGAAGGCGGCUCGCUGGGCUGUUGCCGACGCUGAGGCGCGAAAGCGUGGGGAGCAAACAGGAUUAGAUACCCAGGUAGUCCCUGAGCGGGCUGGCAAGGCGCAU
Molecule: ribosomal RNA, 449 nt
Filed under: uncultured bacterium
Lineage: Bacteria
Description: bacterial SSU rRNA
Rfam family: Bacterial small subunit ribosomal RNA
Source: RNAcentral